Molecule: long non-coding RNA, 6929 nt
Filed under: Triticum aestivum (bread wheat)
Lineage: Eukaryota; Viridiplantae; Streptophyta; Magnoliopsida; Poales; Poaceae
Description: long non-coding RNA (TAES_LNC027149)
Source: RNAcentral
UUUUCUAUGAAUUUUCUAAGUUCUAAACAUAUUCUGAAAUUUUUAUAUUUAGUUUAAUCCGAAUUGACCAAGUCAAUUUGACUAGUCAAAAGGGCAGGUGUGGCCCACAUGUCAUAGACUAUUUACCUAAACAAAUAAAUAAAUCUAACUUAUUUAAUGGGGUCUACAUGUCAUCUACUACUAGAUUAACUUAGCACUAAACUAGUAGUACUUCUAACUAAGCCUAGACUAAUUAAAUAAGGGCCGGCCGUGGCACAGCCGUGCACACACACGAACACACACUCACGGCCAUGGCAACCAGCAACAGCAGCGGCAUGAGCAGUACAUAUAGCAGCAACAGCAGUAGGCAUUUAGCAACAGCAAGCAGCAGCGUUACAAGGAGUAGGGAGCAGACGCAGCUGCGGCCAAGUAGCGGCAGCAGCAGAAUGAAUCAAGAGUAGCGAGCGGGAGCAGCAAAAGGAGCAGCACGAGCAGCAGUCAGCACGGGCGUGCGUGAGCGGCAACGGGCGGACGGGCAGGGGCGCGCCGGGCGCGGCUGGGCACACGAGGGCAGGCGCGGGGCGUGCGGGACUGGACACGGGCAGUCAUACGCGUGCGGGUGAGCGCGGAGCUCAGGCCAUGGCGGCCUCAACGGGAGCAAGCGGCCACGACGGUGGAACGGCGACCUACGGCGACCAAAUCGAGGGGCAAAAUAGGGGGGAAUGGGGAGAGUAGCUCACGGGGGGAGCGGAGGACGCGGCCGGCGUGGCGGAGGAGCUCCGGUGAGGUAGAUCGGGCGCGGGGCAGUGGCGGUCGUAGGCGAGGAAGAAGCGUCGAUCCCGGCGAUGUAGUGCUUCCCCGCUCGAACCGGUAACACUAGUCGAAGGAGACGUCCACGGCGCAGCUCCGGACAUCUUUUCAGGCGCCGGGGAAGUUGGUGGCCGCGACGAUGACUACGACCAUAGCCACGGCAGCUCGGUUGCGGGCUGUGGGGAAGGGGAGGAACCGAGGGGGAGAGGGGCAAGUGGGUUAGGGUUUGCCAGGGGGCGCUUGGGGUGCUUAUCUUCGCGGGGCACCGCCGGAUGGCCGGCGUGUGGCUGGAGGGGCGACCAUAGCCGCGGGAUGGCCGCCACGCCCUUCCCCUAUCCUGUAGCGUGAGGAGGGAGAGGAGUUGAGGUGGGCCGCUGGUGCUCUAUGGCCUCCAAGGCCCAGAUGCACAUUAGUUAGUUAGGCCCUUUUACUGAUUUUAUUUUUCUGUUUUUUUAUAAUUUCCUCACCAUUUUAUAUUUAAAGCAAAACGCAAUUGAAUUUUCCUGACAAUGAAAUUUGGCACAUAAUUAUUAGUCAAAAAUUUGGAGAGGCCCACAAAGUUUGAGGUCAAAAGAAAUUGUUUAAAAUAUUUGUUUAUUUUGAAAAGGUUAUUCUAUUUGCUGCUGGACCAGUUAUUAUUUUCCUAGGAAUUUAUUUGUGAGCCAAAUGAAGUUGGUUUCAACAUGAAGAUGAUCAGGGGAAUUUAUAGAAUUAUUCGAACAUUUUAGUUUCUCCGAUUGAAGAAUUAAUAAUUUCACUUGCAAUUUAAAUAUGAAUUUGACUUCGAUUUUGGACAAUGGAAAUUUGCAUAUUAAUCAUGAUGACCUGGCCACCAUUUAGGGGAAGAUUACUGUAGCAUGGUUCUUGGGGUGUUACAAAUCUCCUUCACUACAAGAAAUCUCGUCCCGAGAUUUAAGUGGGGAAGUAAAGAGUAACUCCGGGAGAACCGACCCUUAUAGGGUUAAUUAUUUGGUGAACAAUUCAGGGAAUGAGGCAGAGGUAUCUCUCGAGUUGAAACUUAAUAAAACAUCGAGAGCAAAGUAUGAAGGUACAUUAGGAAGUUUCAACUGAAUGGACAAACGAUUGAUACCUAAACAGAGUGAGAGAAAGGGGUUCAGAGCAUCGGGAAUAGAUCAUCUCUUGGAAGGUGGCUCGUGAUAACACACAAAGCCAAGAGCAUAAGACACUUCAGCAUCAAGGUUGUACAGGAGAGUCAGGCUUCGAUCCUGUGGAACUGUGGGUUAUGGGCCCACCAUGUGGGUUAAAAGUAGAAAGAGCAGUGACAUUUUACACGGUUAUGGUAGCAAGCUAUGUCGGAGGAUAGUCUGUCAGUUAUGUUGGCAACCACGUUGGUACCAAGGGCGAGGGACGAAGAGAACCAUAUUCCUGCUCGUUGAACGAGGCGGACCAAUCGGCAAGGUUCGCGUCCAUCGAUGGUUACCGGAAUGUCAUCAACAAUAGUAACAGGGUUUUACUGCCAAUUUGUACACCAAGGUGUUUACAUAAGCAGGGAGCUAUUACUGCUUAGAUCUCAUAAUUCAUAAGAAAGGUUAAACAAAAUAGUGGAAAGGAAAAGGUGAUCAUUAGAUUAACCAGAACAUUGGAAAGGGAAAUGUGUUUAAACCCAAAUAUCAGGUGUAUAUCUUUUCCCAAGGACAAGAAGAGUAUGGUAUACAUGACAGGAUAGUAAGUAUAACCAUUAGGUAAGGGGAGAGGAAAUUUAUGACGUUACCCAUACAACAAUGUUUCGAUAAUUGAUCAAGAAACAUUUAGCACUGCGCUCCCAAUGUUCUUGUUGAUGAACGGGGUACCACAGACAUGCUUCGGGAUAGCAUUGACAUGGUCAUCAGGUAAUGGUCAAACUUUGGUUACAUAAAGGAUUCACUGGAGACAACUUAUAAAAUAAGUUAUAUAAUUUCAGCAAGGAAAAGAAGAGGAUGUGGCCUAUGGGUGCAGCAGCAAUCCAUCAACAUGUCAAAAAGGAUGUAUUUCCAAAAUUAUGUGAACACGUCUGUGUUGUAAGGAAGCAAUGAUGUUGUCGAUGGUAACUCAAAUUACCAAGGGACGAGGAUGGUACUUAUCAUCAUGAAUUCGAUUGAUAUCCUGGAAUAGCUCAGAAUGUUGAUGAUGAUCGGCACAUUUGUCGAGAGAUUUCAUGAGGAUGCCAUCGAGCAGCAACGACAUCAAGCAAAAGGAAUGAUGAAGCGAAGGCUAUUGGAACCACAUAUACGACACAAGCUUGGAUUCAUGCUUGUUGUCCAAGGUGGAAUGAUAAAAUGAGGAAGAUCGACGUAAGCUUCGCUCAUCGUCGAAAGUUGCUCCGGGCAUAAGGACCAGGUAGCAUAGUUAAAAGUUGACACGAUAAAAAUAUAGCCGAUCAGGCUAGGAAUGAUGUGAUGGAGUAUCCAACUCCCCAGCAACCAAGUACUAGGAGUGUUGAAUCACUGAGCGGAACCGAUUCAUUGUUCGGUGGUCUCGGUUGAAGACAACCCAGAACCCAUGAAGUGACUAUGACAGGGUAAGGUAGUACUUCAUCAAAAGUUCAUUAGAUGUAGUGCAAUGCAUGAUAUCCUCGAGAUACUAGAGGGUAAUACUCGAAGAUAGGGCAUAAUAGAGUUUGGACAUGUGUAUUCAUCUGCAGAAGACAAGUACUUUAACUAGUCUGAGAAAUGGAAUCAAAGGGAACAAUCAUGGUCAGAACCACGGUUGCAAAGGACCAAACAUAGAUACCAGAUGAACUUAUAACAAGGGGAUUAUUAUUAUCAUAAGAAGCUUCCAUGAUAAGUUCCACAUCGGGUCCAUGGGCAUGAACACAAAGUUCAAGGUCGACUCCCACUUCUUCAAUGCAUAACCUUUCAUUCACUUCUCGCUUUUGAUGAAGCUGUAGUGUUAAAAAUUUAUCUGGUGAAGCACCAGAAGAGUAUGACUUGCAUAACUUUCGAGUUCACACGGAUUAGAAAAAGCAUAGGUUCAACCCAUCGGGACAUCUUAGGAAUCUACACCGCAGUCUUCAUGAGUAAAUAACAAAAACUCGAAUGUAAGGAGAGGAUACAAUUUGCCAAAGGCAUCAUGUAUAAGGGGAAGAACUCUCGAGGUUUUUGAAUGCGAUGGACACUGUCGGAUACAAUCCAACAAUGGAUCUGGCGGUUCACGACGGAGUUGAUGUGAGUAUCAGUAUCCAACCAGAAGAAGAAGAAAUGCAAGGGCAUCGGUUUAUGUAAACAUCUGAAUAAUUUGAUGCUUAAAUACAAAGAAAUUGGAUUUCUAGAUCGGUGUAUCAGAUCAGAUGCUCCGAUCGAAGAUGGAUAGGUUGAACAGACUUAGAGGCACACCGAUCGAAUCUUCAUUGGGCAAGAACCAGCUCAUAUCCGGAAUGAUGUCUGAGCCGGAAAGGAAAAUCCUAUGGAUCAAUUGAUGAUUGUGAGUAGUCGCACAUACAUUGAAUCCGUAGGAACAGAAUGACAAUCACAAAGGAUUUUAAUAUAUAUCGCUAGACAUAUGGAAUUAACCAUAAUACAAGCAGGCGAUAGGGAUCAAAAGUAAAAGGCCGCGGAGGAUUUUUGGGAGAUCAGAUAGCAUUUCAAAGUAUUUUGGAAAGCACAUGAACAACUGGGGAGGAACGGACCCCGGGUAAGUGAAUUAUCCAUAGUGCGAAAAGAAGCUGCAAAGCAUAAGACACAAAGGAUUCUCGGAACAAGGGAGAGUGUUAGGGGUAACUUGUAACAACAAGAGCAACUAGGGAUGAAGGUACAAACGGCAAGGAUGGUAUCCAUGGGGACUUAUCGGUGGUCAGGAACUGCAAAGCAGUGGGCACAGGGUCUCGGGAAACAUCGAGGAGUAUCCGCAGAAUCUUCUGGCGAAGCAAGCGAUCAUCGGUAAUGUCGGGGCUCUCCGGGAGGAAGUGGUUACGAGAACCUAAUGCCAGAGUUAGUAAAAUGUUUAACCCGAAUAGAAGAGAGAUCAGAAUCCCCGAGUAUAGACGAGGAGUAAAAGAUCCUAAUACCACCCAAUAGCGACGUGGGCCCGUAAGACACACAACCAAUGUUAGUAAAAGUUUUUCAGUGACUAGACUCAACUUCGGCCAAGGAGUUGGAAAGGGGGCUACCUACAGGCAGUCGGCUCUGAUACCAACUUGUGACGCCAUCGAUUCAAUCGUACACUAAUCAUACAUGCAAAUGUGUACGAUCAAGAUCAAGGACUCACGGGAAGAUAUCACAACACAACUCUAGACACAAAUUAAAAUAAUACAAGCUUUAUAUUACAAGUCAGGGGCCUCGAGGGCUCGAAUACAUAAGCUCGAAAAGACAAGAGUCAGCGGAAACAACAAUAUCUGAGUACAGACAUGAGUUAAACAAGUUUGCCUUAAGAAGGCCAGCACAAAAGCAUCUACGAUCGAAAAGGCAAGGCCUCCUGCCUGGGAGCCUCCUAACUACUCCUGGUCAUCGACGGUCUCCGCCACGUGGUAGUAGGUGCCCUCGGGGUUAACAUCAGAAGUGCUGUAGAGGUCUCACACUCGGCACUCGAUAGUAACCCAGCAGUGUCGAGCAACUAAGGGGAAAGUGAUGUGAGGUGCCGGGGCCUGGUCUUCGAUCCCGUUGAUCGGGUCUUCAAUGAUGAAGCAGGGGCAACAGGGACAAGGUGGGGGUCACUGAUGGAUCACUAACCAACCUAUACUAAGCAGUUUAGCAUAAACAGGUAAGGUACAACAGCAGAUACAAAAGCAAGCUAUGCAUCAGAAUAGGAGCAAACAAUAAUAGUAGCAAAAUCUAAUGCAAGCAUGAGAGAUGGAAUGGGCGAUAUCAGGAUGAUCAAAGGGGGGGGGGCUUGCCUGGUUGCUCCGGCAAGGACGGGUCGUCGUCGACGUAGUCGAUCACAGGGGCAGCAUCGGUCUCGGGGUCUACCGGAGAAAAGAGGGGGAAGAAACAGUAAAUAUAAAGCAAUCAUAGCAUCACAAAGCGUAACAUGGCAAUAUGAUGUGCCGGGUGAGACCUAACGCAUGGCUACACGAUAUAGGUGAAGGGGGAAUUCAACCGGGAAUGUAUUCCCGGUUCCGGACCUGUGUUAGACAGAUGACCGGAAGGAGAAUGUUCCAUGUUCAGCAUGCUAGAGGCAUGUGACAGAUGAACGGACCGCGUAUUCGUACUCAUUGGAUUUUUCUGAGCAACUUUCAUGUAGAAAACAUUUUCAUCCGAGUUACGGUUUAUUUUCUAUGAAUUUUCUAAGUUCUAAACAUAUUCUGAAAUUUUUAUAUUUAGUUUAAUCCGAAUUGACCAAGUCAAUUUGACUAGUCAAAAGGGCAGGUGUGGCCCACAUGUCAUAGACUAUUUACAAAUAAAUAAAUCUAACUUAUUUAAUGGGGUCUACAUGUCAUCUACUACUAGAUUAACUUAGUACUAAACUAGUAGUACUUCUAACUAAGCCUAGACUAAUUAAAUAAGGGCCGGCCGUGGCACCGCCGUGCACACACACGAACACACACUCACGGCCAUGGCAACCAGCAACAGCAGCGGCAUGAGCAGUACAUAUAGCAGCAAUAGCAGUAGGCAUUUAGCAACAGCAAGUAGCAGCGUUACAAGGAGUAGGGAGCAGACGCAGCUGCGGCCAAGUAGCGGCAGCAGCAGAAUGCAUCAAGAGCAGCGAGCGGGAGCAGCAAAAGGAGCAGCAACAGAGCAGCACGAGCAGCAGUCAGCACGGGCGCGCGUGAGCGGCAACGGGCGGACGGGCAGGGGCGCGCCGGGCGCGGCUGGGCACCGAGGGCGGGCGCGGGGCGCGCGGGACUGGACACGGGCAGUCAUACGCGUGCGGGUGAGCGCGGAGCUCAGGCCAUGGCGGCCUCAACAGGAGCAAGCGGCCACGGCGGUGGAACGGCGACCUACGGCGACCAAAUCGAGGGGCAAAAUAGGGGGGAAUGGGGAGAGGAGCUCACGGGGGGAGCGGAGGACGCGGCUGGCGUGGCGGAGGAGCUCCGGUGAGGUAGAUCGGGCGCGGGGCAGUGGCGGUCGUAGGCGAGGAAGACGCGUCGAUCCCGGCGAUGUAGUGCUUCCCCGCUCGAACCGGUAACACUAGUCGAAGGAGACGUCCACGGCGCAGCUCCGGACAUCUUUUCAGGCGCCGGGGAAGUCGGUGGCCGCGACGACGAC